UACGUCGGGACCGAGCGUUGUCCGGAAUCAUUGGGCGUAAAGCGCGUGUAGGCGGUCCGGUAAGUCCGCUGUGAAAGUCGGGGGCUCAACCCUCGGAUGCCGGUGGAUACUGUCGGGCUUGAGUACGGAAGAGGCGAGUGGAAUUCCUGGUGUAGCGGUGAAAUGCGCAGAUAUCAGGAGGAACACCAAUUGCGAAGGCAGCUCGCUGGGACGUUACUGACGCUGAGACGCGAAAGCGUGGGGAGCAAACAGG
RNAcentral lists this ribosomal RNA (253 nucleotides) under uncultured bacterium. Its description in RNAcentral is "partial 16S ribosomal RNA". It matches the Rfam family "Bacterial small subunit ribosomal RNA", at positions 524 to 776 of the family's 1533-position model. The record is from RNAcentral.